CGCGUGUACUGGUCCGGCCGGGCCUUUCCCUCUGUGGAACCCCAUGCCCUUCACUGGGUGUGGCGGGGAAACAGGACUUUUACUUUGAAAAAAUUAGAGUGCUCCAGGCAGGCCUAUGCUCGAAUACAUUAGCAUGGAAUAAUAGAAUAGGACGUGUGGUUCUAUUUUGUUGGUUUCUAGGACCGCCGUAAUGAUUAAUAGGGACAGUCGGGGGCAUCAGUAUUCAAUUGUCAGAGGUGAAAUUCUUGGAUUUAUUGAAGACUAACUACUGCGAAAGCAUUUGCCAAGGAUGUUUUCAUUAAUCAGGAACGAAAGUUAGGGGAUCGAAGACGAUCAGAUACCGUCGUAGUCUUAACCAUAAACUAUGCCGACUAGGGAUCGGACGAUGUUACAUUUUUGACGCGUUCGGCACCUUACGAGAAAUCAAAGUGCUUGGGCUCCAGGGGGAGUAUGGUCGCAAGGCUGAAACUUAAAGAAAUUGACGGAAGGGCACCACCAGGGGUGGAGCCUGCGGCUUAAUUUGACUCAACACGGGGAAACUCACCAGGUCCAGACACAAUGAGGAUUGACAGAUUGAGAGCUCUUUCUUGAUUUUGUGGGUGGUGGUGCAUGGCCGUUCUUAGUUGGUGGAGUGAUUUGUCUGGUUAAUUCCGAUAACGGACGAGACCUCGACCUGCUAACUAGCGAACAUUUACAUACAGUAAGUGUUUAGCUUCUUAGAGGGACUUUGUGA
RNAcentral lists this ribosomal RNA (733 nucleotides) under uncultured eukaryote. RNAcentral's name for it is "SSU rRNA". It matches the Rfam family "Eukaryotic small subunit ribosomal RNA", at positions 670 to 1427 of the family's 1831-position model. The record is from RNAcentral.